GAUGAACGCUAGCUACAGGCUUAACACAUGCAAGUCGAGGGGUAACGAGAGGAAAGCUUGCUUUCCUUGUCGACGACCGGCGCACGGGUGAGUAACGCGUAUCCAACCUGCCCCCAACUAGGGAAUAACCUUGCGAAAGUAAGACUAAUACCCUAUAAUUUCCUCAGAUGUCAUCUGACGAGGAAUAAAGAUUUAUCGGUUGUGGAUGGGGAUGCGUCUGAUUAGCUUGUUGGCGGGGUAACGGCCCACCAAGGCAACGAUCAGUAGGGGUUCUGAGAGGAAGGUCCACCACAUUGGAACUGAGACACGGUCCAAAAUACUACGGGAGGCAGCAGUGAGGAAUAUUGGUCAAUGGGCGGAAGCCUGAACCAGCCAAGUAGCGUGCAGGAUGACGGCCCUAUGGGUUGUAAACUGCUUUUAUACAGGAAUAAAGUUAGCCACGUGUGGUUAUUUGUAGGUACUGUAUGAAUAAGGACCGGCUAAUUCCGUGCCAGCCGCCGCAGUAA
This 506-nucleotide ribosomal RNA is filed under the name uncultured bacterium. RNAcentral's name for it is "partial 16S ribosomal RNA". It matches the Rfam family "Bacterial small subunit ribosomal RNA", at positions 28 to 523 of the family's 1533-position model. The record is from RNAcentral.